Molecule: ribosomal RNA, 895 nt
Filed under: uncultured archaeon
Lineage: Archaea
Description: bacterial SSU rRNA
Rfam family: Archaeal small subunit ribosomal RNA
Source: RNAcentral
ACCGACUGCUAUUUGGGUGAGAAUAAGCCAUGCGAGUUGAAUGGGAUACCUAAAGUUCCCAUAGCAAACUGCUCAGUAACACAUGAUCAACUUACCCUAUAGAGAAAAAUAACCUCGGGAAACUGAGGAUAAUGUUUCAUAGUUGAAUAGGCUUGGAAAAGUUUUUCAAUGAAAGGGAUAAGAAAAAUGGUUCUUAUCUGCCAUAGGAUAGGAUCGUGCCCGAUUAUGGUUGUUGGUGAGGUAACGGCUCACCAAGCCGGUAAUCGAUAGGGGCCGUGAGAGCGGGAGCCCCAAGAUGGGUACUGAGACAGCGACCCAGGCCUUACGAGGCGCAACAGGUACGAAACCUCCGCAAUACACGAAAGUGUGACGGGGUUACCCAAAGUGUUCUUAUUGAACUGUGGCAGGUGAGUAAUGUCCCCUGCUAGAAAGGAGAGGGCAAGGCUGGUGCCAGCCGCCGCGGUAAAACCAGCUCUUCAAGUGGUCGGGAUAAUUAUUGGGCUUAAAGUGUCCGUAGCCGGUUUAGUAAGUCUCCUGUUAAAUUCAGCGACCUAAUCGUUGAGCCGCGGGAGAUACUACUAGGCUAGGAGGCGGGAGAGGUCGACGGUACUUCCGGGGUAGGGGUGAAAUCCUAUAAUCCCGGGCGGACCACCAGUGGCGAAGGCUGUCGACUAGAACGCGCUCGACGGUGAGGGACGAAAGCUGGGGGAGCGAACCGGAUUAGAUACCCGGGUAGUCCCAGCCGUAAACGAUGCGGGCUAGGUGUGGGGGUGGCUACGUGCCACUUCAGCGCCGCAGGGAAGCCAUUAAGCCCGCCGCCUGGGGAGUACGGCCGCAAGGCUGAAACCUAAAGGAAUUGGCGGGGGAGCACCAUAAGGCGUGAAGCUUGCGGUUC